GACGAACGCUGGCGGCGUGCUUAAUACAUGCAAGUCGAACGAAAAGGCCCUGCUCUUGUGGGGUUCUCGAGAGCCGAGCAGGGGAGAGUCACGUGUGUAACCUCCCCUUGUCUUUGGGAUAACUUCUGGGAACAGGGGCUCUUAUCCCGUAGAAUCUCUUGAUGCAUGGUGUUGGAUGGUAAAAUUCGGCGUUUGGGGAUGUAGUCGAGGCUUAUCAGCUUGUUGGUGGGGUAGUGGCGUACAAGGCCUUUGACGGGUAGCCGGCCUGCGAGGGUGACCGGGCCCAUUGGGACUGAGGUACGGCCCAGACGGCAACGGGAGGCAGCAGUGGGAAACAUUGCGCAAUGGGCGGAAGCCUGAUGCAGCAACGCCGCGUGCGGGAUGACGGCUUUCGGGGUGUAAACCGCUUUCGACUGUGACGAAGAGUGAGUGACGGUAAUGGGUAAAAAAGCAACGGCUAACUACGUG
Molecule: ribosomal RNA, 468 nt
Filed under: uncultured bacterium
Lineage: Bacteria
Description: partial 16S ribosomal RNA
Rfam family: Bacterial small subunit ribosomal RNA
Source: RNAcentral